CCUGCUAAGAAUCUGCCUGCCUGAGUGAUGCAGCCAGGCUCCCUUGUUCCCUGGGGCAAGGAACCAGUAGAGGGAUAGGGAAUCACAGUGUUUCCCGGCUGCAAGGGCCCUUGGAGAUGGUUUUACAGAUGAGGAAGCAGAGUCCAGAGAAAGGAAGUGAUCUGCUGGGAACCACUGUACUUUUCACACAAGCAACUUUCCGGGCAUCUGCUAUGUGCUGUCCACAGGAUGGCGAGGGGCCUCAUCUUGCAGCCUGAGGGAACAGCCUCAUAUUCAGGCUUCCUUUUGCCUUCUCUGCUUCACCUUGAUUGAAGCUACCCUUCUCUGCACCUUCUUUAAGACUAUCCUAAACAUCCUGCCAUUAAUUAGCUGAACAGCCCAUCUAGUAAACAAGACCGAUGGUUGAGGGGCUGGAAAAGAGG
RNAcentral lists this long non-coding RNA (422 nucleotides) under Homo sapiens (human). Its description in RNAcentral is "HSALNT0334423". Lineage: Eukaryota; Metazoa; Chordata; Mammalia; Primates; Hominidae. The record is from RNAcentral.